RNAcentral lists this ribosomal RNA (308 nucleotides) under uncultured bacterium. RNAcentral describes it as "partial 16S ribosomal RNA". It matches the Rfam family "Bacterial small subunit ribosomal RNA", at positions 505 to 807 of the family's 1533-position model. The record is from RNAcentral.
GAAACAGCAGCCGCCACGGUAAUACGGAGGGAGCUAGCGUUGUUCGGAAUUACUGGGCGUAAAGCGCACGUAGGCGGUUAUUCAAGUCAGAGGUGAAAGCCCGGGGCUCAACCCCGGAACUGCCUUUGAAACUAGAUGACUAGAAUCUUGGAGAGGUCAGUGGAAUUCCGAGUGUAGAGGUGAAAUUCGUAGAUAUUCGGAAGAACACCAGUGGCGAAGGUGACUGACUGGACAAGUAUUGACGCUGAGGUGCGAAAGCGCGGGGAGCAAACAGGAUUAGAUACCCCAGUAGUCCCUGUCUCUUAUAC